AAUCAACGCUGGCGGCGUGCCUCAGGCAUGCAAGUCGAACGAUUAAGACUUCCUUCGGGAAGUGCAUAAAGUGGCGCACGGGUGAGUAACACGUAAGUAAUCUACCUUCGAGUGGGGAAUAACGUUCGGAAACGAACGCUAAUACCGCAUAAUGCAGCGGCAUCGCAAGAUGACAGUUGUUAAAGGAAUUUAUUUCGCUUGAAGAGGAGCUUGCGGCAGAUUAGCUAGUUGGUAAGGUAACGGCUUACCAAGGCUACGAUCUGUAUCCGGUCUAAGAGGACGGUCGGACACACUGACACUGAAUAACGGGUCAGACUCCUACGGGAGGCAGCAGUCGGGAAUUUUGGGCAAUGGGCGAAAGCCUGACCCAGCAACGCCGCGUGAAGGAUGAAGUAUUUCGGUAUGUAAACUUCGAAAGAAUGGGAAGAAUAAAUGACGGUACCAUUUAUAAGCUCCGGCUAACUACGUGCCAGCAGCCGCGGUAAU
Molecule: ribosomal RNA, 486 nt
Filed under: uncultured bacterium
Lineage: Bacteria
Description: bacterial SSU rRNA
Rfam family: Bacterial small subunit ribosomal RNA
Source: RNAcentral